This is a non-coding RNA of Coturnix japonica (Japanese quail), 342 nucleotides long. NCBI's taxonomy places the organism in Eukaryota, Metazoa, Chordata, Aves, Galliformes, Phasianidae. The record is from RefSeq and is a predicted model, not a curated record.
AGAGAUAGUCUGGGUCAGUCUUACUUAGGUGUCGCCAAGUUUUAACCACAUUCUCUCUCUUUGCAUCAGAAGUCCAAUGUGGGAGGGAAAACGAUGCCUAUGCAUCUCUGGAGGAAGACAUAGGUGCUGUGAUGCCAACGAAUGCCGUUACCCACAGGGCCGGGAACAGGCAGAGGAAGUGGGGCCCUGGCAGCUGCUCCUCUGCAGCUCCUGUGCUGCACAAGGAACACAUCGGCGCUGCUCCAACGUGAGUCAGGGCACAAUGAGCUGGGAGUGCGACAGCUGUGCUGGAGAGGGCACCGCCCCCAGCACCAACUUGGACACGCUGGCCCCAAACUCCAC